CACUUGCCUGUGUUGAUUGUAGAGACAGCGGGGAGAAGCACGGACCUGCUGCUCUGCUGGUUGACGGUCACUGGUUGA
Eptesicus fuscus (big brown bat) is the source of this 78-nucleotide non-coding RNA. The record is from RefSeq and is marked provisional. NCBI's taxonomy places the organism in Eukaryota, Metazoa, Chordata, Mammalia, Chiroptera, Vespertilionidae.